RNAcentral lists this long non-coding RNA (6607 nucleotides) under Gossypium barbadense (sea-island cotton). Its description in RNAcentral is "long non-coding RNA (GBAR_LNC012734)". The record is from RNAcentral. Lineage: Eukaryota; Viridiplantae; Streptophyta; Magnoliopsida; Malvales; Malvaceae.
CUGCUCUGAUCGGUUGGGGAGUUUGAAUGAAAUUGAAACUCCAAACUUGGCCAAAAAUCAAGGAGAAAAUUAGAGAAUUGAAAUUUAAAAAGAAUUCCUAUGCCGAAAUGCACUCAUUCGGCCAUAGCAAAAGAGUGCCAAAUAUUUUAGGCCUUUAGGAUUUAUUUUUUUUUUCCUUCUUCUAUUUUUUAUUCUUUUCUAUCCUUCUCUCAUCUCUUCCCCUCUUCUCUUUUCUUUCUCCUCUUAAUUCUCAUCCUAUCUUUUUGCCGAACCUAAAUCCUUCAUAUUCUUCUUCUUUUCUCUCUUAAAUCCUCAACAAACUGGUUAGCCGAAUUUCCAUUGAAGCCAAACCUCGUAUCUUUUCUUUCAAAAUCGAAAUCUUACUACUUUGAGGUACUACAAAGGCCGAACCCUUGGUUGAGUAUUUUUCCCUUCUUGUGCGGUAGUUGGAUCUACAAUCGAUUGGGAGUAGUGUCAUAACAAUAUAGGUAAAUGCUCGAAUCUUUCUUUCGUUAUUCAUGAAUUAAGGUAAAAGCCGAAAAACCCCUAUAUGCAAAGGGUGCCUGUUGAUUGUACUCAAAAGGUUUAGUGGUGAUAUCUGAUUUGUUUUCCUAUAGUGUGGAUUAAAGGCUACUAAUCGAAGGCUUGGAUAUUUGGAACGACCAGAAAUAGAUCUAGUCCAUUUUUUUCGGCAAAGGUAAGAACACUAGUGCCUAAAGUGUUAAUGGUCGAUUUUUAGUAAGGAGUUUUGCAGAUAAGUUGCUAUGGAUUCAUAGUUAACGUAUCAGUAAUUGAUUUUAGGCAGUUCGUGUGUGGAACUCGUCAGCGUUUCGUCACAAACAGGUGUGUAAACGACACUCACUCAUAGACUAGAUCGGUAAAAGCCGAAAAGCCGACAAGCCGGCAUUUAUGAACUUGCGAGCGUGCGAGCGCUUGUGAGGUGGUUUGGUUGUUAAUUUUGAUAAUCGCAAGCAGUAUGAUUGCAGAGUGCGUAAUUUCGUGCACUUCGGUAUAUUUGGGCUUAAUGGGCCAAAAAUAGGUUAGUGGGCCAACGGGCCCGAUUCGGUAACAAUGCUCGGUAAGUGCUUCUGUUAAUGUGUUAAUGGUUAGAAUAUGUAUGUAAACUCUAGAAUAGUAAAUUUUAUUAAACUACCCCUAAGUAUGAAAAUUACCGUUUUACCUCUAGGUGCUAAAUUACCGUUAUACCCCUAGGGUUAAUUUUGACUGAAAUACAUGAUAUUCUGAUUCUGUUUGUUAUACGCCAUGACAUGUAUAUCUGUUGCAUGGGGUUGGGUUUUGUUAUGCAGGAAGAACCCGUUCUGGUGGUUGUGCCACAUAUUCAGAUAUAAGCAGCUUUGCUGCGAAUUAUAGUUAGUGCCGCAAUCGGUGCUAACACUGUAACUGUAGGGAUGGCGUGGGUGAUUUAUUCCCCACAGGAUGUGUGGGGAUGGACGGAGGCAAGUGUAGGGUUGGAUGGGGUUAUCAUGCAUUAAUCAUAUGAGGCUAUUUUGUUAUGGGCCAACUGUAUUUUAAUGGGUCCAACUAUGCUGAUAUGGGCUAGGCCCAGUAUACUCUGUUAUUGUAAGGGGCUAUGGCCCAGAUUAAUACUGAUAUGGGCUAAGGCCCAGUUAACACUAAAUUUUGAAUAGGGCUUAGGCCCAGUAAAGCUUGAACUGAUUUGGGCUCUGGUUGGGAUACUUUACACACUGAAUUUUCCAAACUCACCCCCCUUUUUCCCAUCUUUGUAGGUGAGCCUUAGAUCGAUGGACUUGGAGCUGGGCGGGAUUCAGAGUGGCCACGAAGAUUAAGUUUUGUUUUCUUUAAAAUAAGUUUUGCAUUUAUUAUUUUGAUUAUUUUUAUUCUGGUUAAAGUUGUAAUAAGGCCGCUCUUUUUAUUAUUUUUAAUAUUUUGGGUUAUUAAAUUGGUUAGCUUUAGGGCGCGUUUUAUAAAAGUUACUUAUUUUUAAAAUAUCACGAUAACCGAGCAAAGCUUCCGCAAUGUAAAUGUUUUCAAAGGAAAUAAAUAUUUUAAUUAGACUUAAACUUAAUUUGUUGUUCGUGGACAAGUAAUAAGCUUAAAGUGUGGCAAUGGAUGUAUGCAGGUCUAGGAUUGGAUCAUGGAAGAGCUAGGUACUUAAGCAGUCUAAUUGACUCACCUCCUCUUUUCUUGAAUCCUACCUGGUGCGUAGUAUCCAUUCACUUUAAGCCAUGACAAAUAAGGUUUGAUUUUUUUCGAUACUUAACUGUUUUUUUAAAUAACAUGUUUCUGCCACCACAAAGGUUUACAAGUUUUCAAAGUUUCCCAUAAGAUUUUACAAGGUUGUUAACAAUGCUUUGAUUAUUACAAUGCAUCACAUUUUGGAAAAAAAAAAUAAGGCUAAGGUUUUAGUCAAGUUUAAACGGUAAAAGUUUCUAAACAUCAAGAAGGGUUUUCAAUGAAAACAUGGGUUUCGAAAAACACUUCAAUGUGACACGCCGAAUUCGGUUGUAACGUCUGAGCCGGGUUUGGGGUGUUACAUUUAGUGGUAUCAGAGCCCGGUUGCAACAACUCGGCUGUGGAUUGGGUCCAAAAAGGGUUUUCAAAACUUUAUGCCAAAAAGGGUAUUUUUGGAAAAACCUGACUUUUGAAAACAAAUUUUUGUUUAAAGGAGAUAAUCUCCGAACUUGUUUUUUUAAAUGAUUGAAAAAUGGAUUUCAAAAAUUUUAAAUCUUUUGAGUUCAUCUUAAAACUGAGGAGGUGGCAUACUGAAUCCCCGGCACCAAGUCUAUAAGUACUUCUUUUUCCUAUACUGUAAUGUACUGAAAUAAUAUUGUAGUUAGAAUCGAGCCUUUUGAUAUGAAACUGUAGAUAGGGUAGAACUAAAAACUCUAAAAGAUUGAAACCGUGGCUAGUAUAUGAUUCUAUAAAAACAAAAACUUUAAAAAUACUCUCUCUGCAUAAGACAUAUGAAUAAAUAGUAAAACUUUUUGAGAUCUUUGUAGUUAUUUGAUAUGUGUACUGGUAAUGUAGAGUAUUGAUAUGGAUUCUGAGGGUAAGCAAAGUCUGCCAACUUUGGGUAGCGGUAACUCGGAGCUUGGUACUGAGGCACUGGCCGAGAUAGUAAGGAAAGUGGUAGAGAAAGUAUUGGAUACCAAAAUUAAGGAAAUUAGGGAAACGCUUCAAAUAAGGUGCUUGGAGUGUAAAAAGAGGAAGGAUCCUAGUUCUCAAAGAACAGAGCCUCGUUCUGUGAAACAUGUUAAGGCACGACCAAACUUUCCAACCUGCAAAGACUGCAACGGGCGUCAUCCGGGUGAAUGCCAUAGGAAGACAGGAGCAUGUCUUAGAUGUGAGUCCAAUGAGCAUCGAGCUCGAGAUUGCCAAGUUUAUUCUAUUUGAGUGUGUGCUACGAAUUGUAUGCGUAAACGUUUCCUUAUUUCGGUAAUUAGAUGUUCUGGGUCGUAUUAAAAUUAUUUAUAUCAGAGUGCGUAGCGGUAGCAUAUUAGCAUUGUGGUUUGACUUGAGUAAUACAGUUAGUUGAUAGUUGGAAAUUUCGAGGACGAAUUUUUUUUUCAGGGGAUAGAGUUGUAACGCCCCAAAAAUUGGGCCUAGAAGAGUUGGGCUUUGAGUCUGGGAUUCGGAUAGAAGAAAACCUGAAUAUUGAGAAGUUUUAAAUAUUACUAGUGUUUAAAAAAAAUAUAUAUUGAUAAAAUAUUUAUGUUAUUACUAAUAUUUUAAUUUUUAUGAAAAUUAUUAUCAUUAUAAUUAUUAGAUACAAAUAUGUUUAUAAAAUUAUUGUUGUUAAUUUAGUGUUUAAAUUAAAUUAUUAUUAGAAAAUUUUAUCGUAUCUAUUUUUAUUGAUUUAUGGAAAUUAUAAUUAUUAUUAGGAAAAAUAUAUAUAUAUUAUCGUAUUUGAAAUUUUCAUUAUUAUGGUUAUUAUUAUUAUUAUUUUAGUUUUUAAAUAAAUUUAGAAGUAUUUAAAGUAUGAGAAAAAUUCGAUCCAAGACUCUAGCAAAAAUAAUUAUUUUUGCUCCUUUAGGGGAUCUGGGCAUUAAGGUUUAUUAAAAAGUUGGGCUAAAAUGGGACAUAAGGAGGAGUCAGGCCUAGUGGUUAACCGUGUUAAGCAGUAGGAAAGGAGCAGGGGUUCGAUUCCCUGGGUGUGCAACUGUUGGUUUUUAUUUUAGAAAAACCAAGGGCUGUCGCAGGUAAGCCUUAUUAACUAUUCAGGCUAAUUCAUGUCAGAAGCAAGUAUCUGGCCCAGUGGCAAAGCACGUUAGGAGGGCGUGGGAAGUGCCUGGGUUCAAGGCACGGCGCACGCAAAUUGGGUUUUUUUUUUAGUAUACAGGUUGCGGUUGGAAUAGGCUUUAAAUGAAGUUACGAAUGAAGUUUGACACAAUGAGAGCCUGUGGCGCAGUGACAAGAAACGUAUGUGUGUGUUAAAGAGGUCGCAGGUUCGAAAUGUACAGCAAGCAAAAAUUUCCUUUUUUAUUUCGCAAGUAACCAGAGCUUCAGCAGGUAAGGUUUAUAAUUAAUUGUAACCACAUAUUACUAAAGGAGAAGCGUGGUGCAGUGGCCAGCAGCUCAUGUGUGGGCGCAUGGGCAGACGAGGUCUGGAGUUCGAGCCUCCUCUCGAGCAGGAGCGGCUGGGUUUUCGCUGCACGCAUGGGGAAGGAGUUGGAGUCUGACCAGGACUCCUAGCAGCGUGCUGAAGCGGUGCAAGCAGGUGGAUAAGGCCUGCUCUGAUGAUCGGUUUUGCCAAAAAUCAAGGAGGAAAUUAGAGAAUUGAAAUUUAAAAAGAAUUCCUAUGCCGAAAUGCACUCAUUCGGCCAUAGCUAAAGAGUGCCGAAUAUUUUAGGCCUUUAGGAUUUAUUUUUUUUCCUUCUUCUAUUUUUUAUUCUUCUCUAUCCUUCUCUCAUCUCUUCCCCUCUUCUCUUUUCUUUCUCCUCUUAAUUCUCAUCCUAUCUUUUUGCCGAACCUAAAUCCUUCAUAUUCUUCUUCUUUUCUCUCUUAAAUCCUCAACAAACUGGUUAAGCCGAAUUUCCAUUGAAGCCAAACCUCGUAUCUUUUCUUUCAAAACCGAAAUCUUACUACUUUGAGGUACUACAAAGGCCGAACCCUUGGUUGAGUAUUUUUCCCUUCUUGUGCGGUAGUUGGAUCUACAAUCGAUUGGGAGUAGUGUCAUAACAAUAUAGGUAAAUGCUCGAAUCUUUAUUUCGUUAUUCAUGAAUUAAGGUAAAAGCCGAAAAACCCCUAUAUGCAAAGGGUGCCUGUUGAUUGUACUCAAAAGGUUUAGUGGUGAUAUCUGAUUUGUUUUCCUAUAGUGUGGAUUAAAGGCUACUAAUCGAAGGCUUGGAUAUUUGGAACGACCAGAAAUAGAUCUAGUCCAUUUUUUUCGGCAAAGGUAAGAACACUAGUGUCUAAAGUGUUAAUGGUCGAUUUUUAGUAAGGAGUUUUGCAGAUAAGUUGCUAUGGAUUCAUAGUUAACGUAUCAGUAAUUGAUUGUAGGCAGUUCGUGUGUGGAACUCGUCAGCGUUUCGUCACAAACAGGUGUGUAAACGGCACCCACUCAUAGACUAGAUCGGUAAAAGCUGAAAAGCCAACAUUUAUGAACUUGCGAGCGUGCGAGCGCUUGUGAGGUGGUUUGGUUGUUAAUUUUGAUAAUCGCAAGUAGUAUGAUUGCAGAGUGCGUAAUUUCGUGCACUUCGGUAUAUUUGGGUUUAAUGGGCCGAAAAUAGGUUAGUGGGCCAACGGACCCGAUUCGGUAAAAACGCUCGGUAAGUGCUUCUGUUAAUGUGUUAAUGGUUAGAAUAUGUAUGUAAACUCUAGAAUAGUAAAUUUUAUUAAACUACCCCUAAGUAUGAAAAUUACCGUUUUACCUCUAGGUGCUAAAUGACCGUUAUACCCUUAGGGUUAAUUUUGACAUAAAUAUAUGAUAUUCUGAUUCUGUUUGUUAUAUGUCAUGACAUGUAUAUCUGUUGCAUGGGGUUUGGUUUUGUUAUGGAGGAAGAACCCGUUCUGGUGGCUGUGCCACAUAUUCUGAUAUAAGCAGCUUUGCUGUGGAUUAUAGUUAGUGUCGCAAUCGGUGCUAACACUAUAAGUGUAGGGAUGGCGUGGGUGAUUUAUUUCCCACAGGAAGUGUAGGGAUGGACGGAGGCAAGUGUAGGGUUGGAUGGGGUUAUCAUGCAUUAAUCAUAUGAGGCUAUUUUGUUAUGGGCCAACUGUAUUGAAAUGGGUCCAACUAUGCUGAUAUGGGCUAGGCCCAGUAUACUCUGUUACUGUAAGGGGCUAUGGCCCAGAUUAAUACUGAUAUCGGCUAAGGCCCAGUUAACACUAAAUUCUGAAUAGGGCUUAGGCCCUGUAAAGCUUGAACUGAUUUGGGCUCUGGUUGGGAUACUUUACACACUGAGUUUUCCAAACUCACCCCCCUUUUUCCCAUCUUUGUAGGUGAGCCUUAGAUCGAUGGACUUGGAGCUGGGCGGGAUUCAGAGUGGCCACGAAGACUAAGUUUUGUUUUCUUUAAAAUAAGUUUUGCAUUUAUUAUUUUGAUUAUUUUUAUUUUGGUUAAAGUUGUAAUAAGGCCGCUCUUUUUUUAUUUUUAAUAUUUUGGGUUAUUAAAUUGGUUAGCUCUGGG